This is a long non-coding RNA of Passer domesticus (house sparrow), 6640 nucleotides long. RefSeq lists it as uncharacterized. The record is from RefSeq and is a predicted model, not a curated record. Lineage: Eukaryota; Metazoa; Chordata; Aves; Passeriformes; Passeridae. The transcript has 2 exons.
GGGGCCGCCGCCGAGCUCCGCUCCGCUCCGCUCCCGGCCGGACACAGCGGGCACUGCCGCUGGUGUCGCAGGACAGAUUCUCCGGGCACUCGAGCUGGGGCCGCCGCCCGAAUCGGACACCGCGGACACUCGAGUUGCUGCCGCAGGACGGAGCCGAUGUGGGAGCGGCUUUUGGCCGCUGUGAACACUCGGCGUGAGGGAAACCAGCGGGGGCGGGGAAGGGAGCGAAGGCCAGGGCGUGUCAUGGAAAUCACCGUGGCAGUUUUGUUUUCUUGUAUGACAGUGACUCCCGGCCCCAUAUUCGGAGCCAGAGGCACAUUCAGAAGCAGAAACCACGCGAGGCGACCACUCCUGUCCUACAAAAACCUCGCUAAGAACAAGGGCCCCACUUUGUUGGAGCCGGUGAAGAACCGCAGCCCCGGGGAAGGAGCUCCUGGGGCUCUGAGCAGUGAAUUACCGCGGGGGUUCUUGGGCUGGGCCAGGCCAGGUGCCCGGUGCCAGCACAGCCGCUCUGUGCCCCUCCUGCUGCCCCUGGGCAGGCAACAGAGCACAGGAAAGGCUCGAGUGUCGGGAAAGGCCAGGGAGAGAUCACUCCCCGGUCACCGGAAUAAGGGACACGACCGGGGGGAAUUCUUGGAAUUUCUUAUCAAACCGAUCAUUGCAAGAGAACGAGAGGCGAAGCAGCCGGGUCCAGCCUCGGCAGCAGGACUGUGCCCUCGGCCCCUGGCCGCUGCCCGAGGGGAUGAAGGAUGCCCGGCCGAGCAGCGGCUCUGCCCAGCACGGGGAUGUGCCCGCAGCCCCCGCUCCGUGCCGGGCUCGCAGGGCCGAGCGCGGAGCGGGGCUGAGCUGCUCCAUGGAGCUCCCAGCGCUGCCGGCUCCGGCGGGCGGGCACGGGCCGUGCCGGGCGUCCGGCGGCAUCGCUCGGUGCCGGGCGGGUUUGCCGUGCCAGGGACCGCCUGAGUGCAGCGGCAGCGCCAGCCCAUCCUCGCCCUUCUGUUCCAGCUGCUGCAGGAAUUAAACCGGGGGAAACUCCCUCUUGUCGCCAGGUCAAAGCCCUGAGUCGAGGGGAGAACGGAGCUUCCCUCUCGAUUUAGAUCCCUACAUGAUGCAUAAGGAUCAUUUCCCCUCACUUUAAUCCCAAAUAAAAAGUGAAUCAAGGGGGAUUUUCCUCAGUUUAGCCUCCUGAAACAAGGGGAAAUGCAGUUUCCGUCUUCAGUUUCCCUCAAGACCAUUCUGGGGGCUUUUGGACAUCUUUCUCAUCUGUGAAGGUCCCUUCAGAUGGAGGGUCCCCUCGAUGGCACUCUUACCAUGGCUCAUCAAGGGGUUCCUCUCAAGGGAAGCCCUUUCAGAGCAGGCAUGUGGUAAUCGGCGGAAGAAAUGCAGCACUCAAUAUGAGUGAUCAGCAAAUCUCAAAACUUUAUUGAUAGGCACAUACAUUUAUAUUGGUGUUAAUGAGGCUAAUACAUAUUGCAAAAGGUGAGCUCAUUAUUGGUUAGUUACUUAUCAGCUAACUACGCCUACCUUAUCAUUCUUGAGGCUACUAUGCUGCAGCUGUUCACAUCUUUUCUUCAUGUUUCUAACUAACGAUCCUCUCCCCCAUCCUGAUGUUGCACCAAGGGCACAGUGCCCUUGCCAGGUUUGGACACUGACUGCUGACUCCUAUCCUCGUCUCCUUCAUCCCUAACUAACGGUAUUAUGUCAGUGUGACCUUUGUUAGCUAGCCAGCUGUUCACAAAAUCCUCCACACUUCCCCUGUUUUUCUGUUGCACAAGCAUAGUCUGAUUAGAUGCAGCAAAUAUCAUUCUUUGAACCAUGUUCUGUAAGCACAUGCAAAAACAAGGCAAAACUAACACUACUAACAAAGCUAUAAUGCCUACUAUAAUGAUGACUCUAACAAUAGAGCACAACCAUGAUCCCAAGCCUAAAGAUUUGAGCCACUCAUCAAUGCCAGAGUCCGAUUCUACCUGUAAAUUUCCAGUUAACCUUCACAGCUCAGAGAGCUGGGAGUGAAUGGACUGGGAAUGAUCAGAGAGGUUCAUGCAACACAUGCCCUCAAAUUCUUCACAACCAUGGCCUUGUGCCAGUAAAAGGAAAUCAAUUGCAGCUCUAUUCUGAAGCGUUGCAUGGCGAAUAGAAUCAACAUCAAGCAAAAGGCUAGAAAGUGCUAAAGAGGUGGCAUUAGUUUGUUUAGCAAGCCAGCAUCCUAGCUUGUUUAAAAUGGCAUGGGCACCUGCUGCUGAUACCCCUAGAGCUAAAAAGGAUGCUGCCACUAUGGCCCCUGGGGACCAAAAUUUUACAUCAUCUUUGCAGUCAGCAGCAAACGCAUGGGCCAUUCUUUUAAUUCUGUGAUAGCAGCGGCUCAUAUUAAGGAUCAUUGAUGUAUUGGGUGUGAGUAGAGACAAGCGACCAAUUGUACAUGGCCCCCCGCUCAGCAUCGAUGGGACACCGGGCCAAGCACGAUCCCCACAUAUUAAAAAGUAACCUGCUGGUAAUUGAAUAGGGUCAUUUGAUGAGAUCGACACCCUCUUUGUGGUAUAAUUGCACCAGGUUGUUGCAUUACGGUAAAUGGCCAUGCUGGAGGUUACAAUAGUAGAAUAGUUUUUGGCUGGCAGCUGACUUUUAUGCUUAAACCUAAGGCAUGCAUCUGCCAUCACUGAGCCUAACAGUUCCAAUUCUUGGGGUUCCUGCGGUGCUAUAGGAAAAUGAGAAAUCCAUUGGUCCCAGUUAUCUACACUGACCCUGGCGUCAUUGGUUUUGCAGGUGGGUAUUUUCGAUGGGCAUGGCCAGGGAUCUGCCGGCAGUCCAACCAAACAGGUUGUAAAUGGAUUACCGGGAGAAGAUAAUGACAAGCAAAUAGCCUCCUGGUUAGUUAAAUUUGCCAUGGUGAUCCAGAUAUUAGUCUUGGGCUGAGGUGGGGCCCACGCUUGGUGGGUUCCCACUCCUUUGGCAAUGUCUGGGCUGUCUAUUAAGAGGGCAAAUACGAGUAAAACUGUAGCAUAAGUCUGCCACAUCACCCUGAUCUUCCCAGGCGCUGUUUUGAACCAUCCAGACAUUUGGGGAAUUAACAGGUUGCCCACAAACCGUUAAGAAUGUCUCUUCCUUCCUCUCCCCCUUUUCUUUCUUGAGCCGCCCAGACUUAAUCUUUUUAGAGCCCUUAAACAAUCGUCCCACACUUGAUUAGGAUCUUGAUCCCCCAGAAUCGGACCUACUACAUCUAACUGGGAGAGGGGAAUACCCCGACCACAUUUAAGACUGUAAGAUACACGACUGAGAUUGCCCUAAAGCGCGUCUGGCAAAGUGCUGGGUUUCCCACCUAAACCAUGCGAGAAUUUUCUGUUCUGGGGACUCAUACAACUGUAACCCUUGGCGGCCAGGUAACCCUGUAAAGGCCUGGAGUUCUGCUUGCCAGGAAUCCCGCUGCCAAUAAAAUGCACAGCUUCUGCACCACAGCUCAGGUAACUGGGACUGAUGCACCCACUUAGUUUGCUGACACCCCCCGCAAAAGAACAAUAUCCAUGCAGCACACAGAGUUAUUUUGACACUUAAUACAAGCUAAUCUCUUAGGCCCUCUAUAAUAAAACGUAUGAAGCGCCGUGUGGGAGCUCAGUACAUCACUCCGGAUGUCCAGAGCUACCGAGACAACCCUUGGGGGGCUCGGAGGCCCUGGAAUGUUGCCAAAAGUACCUGGUGGCUUGACUUUGAUCCUUUUAAAGAAAUGACACCUGAAGGUGAGGAGAUGAGAGAAUUUCAUGUCUAAAUGGUGAGGGGAUGUUAUUCACUUGUUAGAAGUUAAGUUAGAAUGCACUGUACAGGGGGGUUUUAUGUGUUGUACAGGGGGGUCUAGAAUUCUGUACAUGGAUCAGGAGUCCCAAGAUGGAGGAAUUUGGGCGUGCCCUGUCCUUCUUCUUUCUUCUCCUUGGCAUCCAUGUUCAGGAUGAUGUUGGCAUGUGUGGAUUGGUUCAUGGAAAGAGGACACUUGCCAACAAGGGCAGAAAGUAUUGGGAAGUAAAGGUAAAUAUCUAAUACAUAGUUUUCACUAUAAAAGAGACAACCGCCUCGUGGGCGGGAGAGAGUGCCUUUGGCUGUCCUGCUGAACAGACCUCGGCUGGACAGACAGAAAAUCUUUGUAGAUAAGAAAUAAUAAACUCGACUGAAGACCGAAAGCAAGAGUCCAGACUCCUUCUUCGAGAGCGCGGCCUACCCAGAACCACUUUUUCCCGUGCUGGGGCAGAGACAAGCAACAGCCGACCCCAGCAUCUGGCGUCCCUGGGUGGGCACGAAGGGGGGCCCGAAGGUGGGCACGAAGAACGAAAAGCGAAAAGGACAGCUCGAGCGGAGAGCCGAAGAGUGAGCUGCAAAGAGAACACCCAGGUGGGCAGCACCCGAGCGGGCAGCUCCCAGGCGGGCAGUUCCCGGAGCUGGACUCAUUCCCAGGAGAGCACUGAUAACUCCUUGGGAAGGCAGCCAGAAGAGUCCGAAGAAGCAGCAGCCAAAGAGAGAACACCGCACUCCACUUCUCCCGAAGAAACCUCGUAUCAGAACAGCCCGGAGUGGAAUCAGAAGGGCCCCUGAAUCCAUCUCCUGUGACCUGCUGGACGGGAACCGGGAGCCUCCAGACUGCUCUGACGACACAAAUUCGAGCAAGGUCCGAAGUGGGUGUCGGCACGACACGUGAAGCCGUUUCGAACUCAAGAACAAAAGAACACAGAUCCCGGAAACAGAGAGACAAGUACUCAGACAGAGGAGGAGACUCAAACUACAAGCAAUAAUCUAGAAGAAACAGAAGAAUAAAAGACUUUGGGGGGUUUUCUGAAAAGCUUUGGGUGGAAAAUGGUGAUAUUUAGUCAGGAAGGUGGGGUGAUAAACUUUGCAAUGUUCAUGUGUUUUGUCUCAUUGCCAAUGGUUUUGAACAACAAAGCAAAUUUACCAGUCAAUCAACCAGAGAAAAAUGUUUGGGAAGCUUUAGCCCAAGCAGCAGAUUUAGAUAGCAUUUGCCUGACGCACUCCAGACCAGGGAGGCCAUUUUCAGCAUGCAUGAUUGGAUUGCCAGUGAAUGAAUGGCCAAUUCCAGGACACACUGCAAUCGAGAUCUCACAGGUCGUUAAAGAUCCUGUGAAUGAAUGGUAUACUUGGACACAUUCUCUUCCUGUGGCUUCUUCUGAACCUCAGGAAUUGGAGAUUUUCGGGUCCAUGACAAUGAAUGUAUGCAUGCAAUUUGAAAUUUCAGGUACAGCAAAGCCAAACAAAACUAUUGAUGUUACUCCCAAUCAUGAAUUCUACAGAAAUGCGUCAGCCUGGUGCAACAACACCAUGGUGACAGACAAAGGGUCACUCCAAGUCCCAGUGCAACUGCCAAAGAGAUUCUUUUUGAUUUGUGGAGACAGGAUUUGGCAUGGUAUUCCUGCGAAUGCCAAGGGAGGUCCAUGCAGCAUUGGAAGAAUUUCAAUGCUGACGCCAGAUUUAAAGAUGCAGAGAGAACAAAAACAUAAAGAAAAAAGAUCUUUACAAUAUUUCGAUGAGAAUUGUGAUGACAGGGUUUACACUUGGAGCAAGGCAAGGAGAAUUGCGAUAGCAAUUUUCUCACCUCAGGCAGCAUCAGGAAUUGCUUUGACUCAAUUGGAUCGUAUGGGUUGUUGGCUAAGCAAGCAUGCUCAAUCAGUCUCUCUUGCACUGAGUGACAUGUUACAAGACAUGAACAGUGUAAGACGGGCAACUCUGCAAAACAGAGCAGCAAUCGAUUAUCAUUUGCUUGCUCACGGCCAUGGGUGCAAAGAAUUUGAAGGAAUGUGCUGUAUGAAUCUCUCCGACCAUUCCAGGUCAAUUCAUGAAAAUAUCGAAAAAAUAGAGGAGAGUGUGAAGAAACUUGGCGAGAUCACAGGAUCUUGGAUUGAGGACAUAGCAAAGUUUUUUGAUCUUUCACCUUUGGGAAAAGAAAUUUUAAAGAUAGGGUUUCAAAUUUUGGUGAUUCUCAUAGUUCUCUUGAUUGUAAUCCCAUGCAUUCUUUUGUGUGUGCGGAGUGUCAUGAGUCGAGUUGUAAAGAGGGUGCUUUUGGUGCAAACAGAAGGGAGAGAUGUGGGAGCUCAGUACAUCACUCCGGAUGUCCAGAGCUACCGAGACAACCCUUGGGGGGCUCGGAGGCCCUGGAAUGUUGCCAAAAGUACCUGGUGGCUUGACUUUGAUCCUUUUAAAGAAAUGACACCUGAAGGUGAGGAGAUGAGAGAAUUUCAUGUCUAAAUGGUGAGGGAAUGUUAUUCACUUGUUAGAAGUUAAGUUAGAAUGCACUGUACAGGGGGGUUUUAUGUAUUGUACAGGGGGGUCUAGAAUUCUGUACAUGGAUCAGGAGUCCCAAGAUGGAGGAAUUUGGGCGUGCCCUGUCCUUCUUCUUUCUUCUCCUUGGCAUCCAUGUUCAGGAUGAUGUUGGCAUGUGUGGAUUGGUUCACGGAAAGAGGACACUUGCCAACAAGGGCAGAAAGUAUUGGGAAGUAAAGGUAAAUAUCGAAUACGUAAUUUUCAUUAUAAAAGAGACAACCACCUCGUGGGCGGGAGAGAGUGCCUUUGGCUGUCCUGCUGAACAGACCUCGGCUGGACAGACAGAAAAUCUUUGUAGAUAAGAAAUAAUAAACUCGACUGAAGACCGAAA